ACGCACGCACGCACGCACGCACGCACGCACGCACGCACGCACGCACGCACGCACGCACGCACGCACGCACGCACGCACGCACGCACGCACGCACGCACGCACGCACGCACGCACGAAUAGAAAUCUACUACCUGUUAUAUCAACCCGUAACAUUGUUUGAGGGUUCAUUAUGUUCUUGCAAACAUUCCAGACACUGGAAUUUUCUAAAGACAGGUCAAGGCUGAUGGAGCCCUGUAAGUUGCCUGUUGACUUUCCCUCAUCCAGAGAGCACUGUCAGGAACAAGCGUUUUCAUCUUGUGAAGUUGAUUUGUCUUUGUUUCCAAGAAGCAUGUCCAGGUUUAGCGUUCCUUUUUCUUUCUUCUUCUUUGAAAUAGGGUCUCUUGACAUUAGGCCUAGCUGGCCUGGAACUCACAGAGAUCUGCCUACCUCUGCCUUCCAAGUGCCGGGAUUAAAGAUGAAUCUUACCAGACUCGAUUUGCAAAGCACUGAAGGAGUUUUGUUUAGAGACCUACACUGCAAUGCCGAACCAGGAAGACAGGCAUCUGCCUGAAGCUAGCAGACGAAAUGCUGGGCAGAAGAGGAAUUAAUUCUGUGCCUAUUGUUCUUAAGACCGAUGACCUAGUCUCCACUUUGAAACCACCUCACAUGCUACUGAAAAUGCAUGAGACCAAGGACACAUGCUUAUUUUAUUGGAUUCCUUAAAACGCUGCUUCUCUCAUUUGCCUUUCUUUUAACCCCUGGGGAAUUACAUUCAGAGGGGGGAGUUUUAGUGUGGAACUGCUUUUGCCUUCUGUGUCUUUCAAGCAGCUGGCGAUUUCUGCUCUUUAAUUGUAGCUCCCUUCUAGCAAGCAUCUCCUCAUCCUUGGGUGUUUUAGAAAGUCAGGAGCUGUUCAGGGUAGCUUUAGUUAUUGAUCUCCAAGGUUUUGGAUCAUGCAUACAAAAGCUGUUAUUGUGCUUUACAAAAGUUAGUGAAAAUUUUCAAGCUCAUUAUGAAUCAAGGACAAUCGUGGUUGGCGGCUGGCAUUUGGGCUCACUCAUAUGCUGCCUGCUUUGUGCUGUGGGCAAAAAAAUUUAAGUCACUGAGGUGGAAAUUACACAUGCAGAACUGCAGCUUUCAGACACUUCCCACCUGCCCUUUCAUUUUGUUGAGCCAUUGGGAAAACGUCUUGAGGGAAUGAAGAUCUAGAGUCAGUUACAGAUGACAGAUUUAUCUACUCACAAUCUAUUAAAUGUCUUUCUUGUAAUCAGAGCUUUAAAAUAUGAUGCCAAGAGGACUAGAUGGGCAGUUCAAUCACCCUCACGGUGCACAUGCACAAACUCCUGUCAACUCUAACUCUGUGUUGUAGCACAUUAUUUCUGUCUCUUCUGCCCAUUAUUUUGUCUUGAAAUGUUAACAUAGCAGCAUAGCACUCAGUGAAUUAACAAAUAAGUCUGGAGAGGUAGGCUUCUUUUUUGUCUUUAGGUAAUUUCAAUGAAUUGUAAGAGUUUUACUUUGAGACAGAGUCAUGACUGUUGUUUUAUAUGAGAAAAAACUUACUUUAUAGAGUUGAUAAUUGAGAUCCAGUAAUAAAUAGUUUCAGUUGGGCAGUUUUAGUACAUACCUUUAGUACAUACCUUUAACAAACCAACUAACUAGCUAGCUAGCUAGCUAACUAACUAAUAUUGAGCUUGGAAUUAGAUUGAAGGCCUUGUGCUUACUAGGCAAGUGCUCUAUCAUUGAGCUAAACUCACAACCCUUAAACUGUUCACCUUUAACAAUAUUCUCCCAAAAAGUAGUUUAUUAGUGAAAAGGCAAUAAAAUGAUACACUACCAGAUACAAUAGUUUGUUUUGAGUACAUCUGCUUAGAACCAAACCAAAGCAACCAACCAAACGGAAAACCCUUGAUGUCACUAUGCUUCAGUUGAGGUCUACUUUAUGUUUCCCUUCAAAAAUCUAGUUUUCCAUUGGAAAGUCAUGUCUAAAGAUAUGUCAUUUCAAGAUUCUUUUGGAAAAAUAUGGUAUAUAAAUGAUGUUUCAGUAUAUAUGUAUACAUAUAUAUAUGCAUAUAUCCACAUACACACAGUGAAAUGAUUAUUACCUUCAAGAAUUUGAACACAUCAGUUAUUUCUUUAGAGUUAUAUCCAUUACAUUACAUUAUAUCCAUUGCAGUUAUGUGAUGAUUUUGAGUGGGGUUUUCUGUAAGCCCUAAAAUCUGUAGGGAGUAUAGAAAAUACAGUUCUGUGAAAAUGAAAGAAUUUCGGCUGUAGAACGAUCAGCUGUUUUGAUGGUUAUGCAUGGAUAAAAGGGUGAGAAAUGCAGGUAGACCACUCCCAAGGUGUGGCAACUGCUUAAUUCCACGAGGAAGAAGACCCCGAAAGUGAGGUUUUUCCUUUUGUUUUGGUUUGUUUUUGGUCUUUUGUUUGAUUGUUUGUUUCACAAGUCCUUUUGUUCAGUUAUCAAGCUAUAAAAAAUUUCCAAACUUUUAACUGUUGCCUAAACAGGUCUCCAUUUCCCCCCACAUCAUUAACAUUACUUUUAUUUCACUGCACAAAAGACAACAGUUAAUAAAUUAUUGAAGAGUCCGUGCAGGAAGGAUCUUACCUGAAAGUCUAGAGCACUCUGAUCAUGUGAUUGCUUUGCCAUGGCUCGUCUUGCCAUUCAGUACAAUGUGAAUUACAUGUAGGGAUCUCAGAACCACGAGUCAGCGUACCUGAAUGUCUCGCUCCAGCUGCAGCAGAUGGUACCUGUGCCAUGUGAGGAAAGCUGGUCCUUCGUGAGAGAAAUCCACAUCGCCAAAGCUCUCCUGUCCUGCCCCAAGGAAGGUUUUUUUGACUGAAUAAUAGUGUGUCCAAACAAAGUAGUUGUAAAUGGAAAUGUUCUCAAAUUGUGGUGUGCUGCCAUCUGGUCCCAGCAUGUCUUCUGACCUCCUUGUGGCAAUGACAAAUUGAGGGUGAGUUGUGCGCUUCGCCAUAUCCAAGGCCCUGACGAAGUGGCUUUUUUCUUCUGUACUUAAGUCAAGAAGAUUUCUCCUGACUUUAAGCAUGAAAAGAUUAAGACAAAAUUAGCACAAUCGUAUUACAACUACUAUGCCUCCAGUAGCCAUUAAUGGCCACAUGUAGACCUGUUCAGGGCUUUUGUACAUUAUUUGGUUGAUUAUCAUGACCAAGAUGCUUGGGACCAGAUAUACUUUGGAGUUUGCACAUUUUGAAAUAUUUUCUUAUACAUUACAGUUUAGGCAUUGGGUCCAAAGCUAAAUGUAAAAUCCAUUUGUUUCAUAUACACCUCAUUACACACAUGGCCUGAAGAUGGUUUCAACCUCAGUUUCAUUAUUUUGUGCUUAAAACAAAGGUUAGCAGUAUGGAGAUUUCCACUGGGAACACCAUGUUGGGCUGCAAAAAUUUCAGUCUGGAUACUAUUGGAAUUAUGAUUUUAAAGAUGUCCAAUCUGUAUAUUAAAAAUGCUCUUAAUUAAAUCUGUGUUUAUACUGAUCGCUCUUCAUUCCCCUCUUUGUCUCAGCAAUUUGCUCUUUGAUUUCUAAAAGCUUUCUUCAGUAUUACAUGCAGAUUUAUCAUUCAUUGUUAAAUAAAGAUUGUCAUAUUUA
Non-coding RNA from Rattus norvegicus (Norway rat), 3582 nucleotides. Lineage: Eukaryota; Metazoa; Chordata; Mammalia; Rodentia; Muridae. The record is from RefSeq and is a predicted model, not a curated record.